UUUCGCAAUGCCCGAAAGGGUGACGAAGCGACGCCGCGUGCGGGAAGAAGGCCUUCGGGUUGUAAACCGCUGUCGGGAGUUAAGAAAUGUAAGGAUGUUAAUAGCAUCUUUGCUUGACUAAGGCUCCGGAGGAAGCCACGGCUAACUCUGUGCCAGCAGCCGCGGUAAUACAGAGGCGGCAAGCGUUGUUCGGAAUUAUUGGGCGUAAAGAGCACGUAGGCGGCUACGUAAGUCGGUUGUGAAAGCCUUCCGCUCAACGGGAGAACAGCAUCCGAUACUGCAUGGCUUGAGUGCGGGAGGGGAGAGUGGAACUUCUGGUGGAGCGGUGAAAUGCGCAGAUAUCAGAAGGAACGCCGGCGGCGAAAGCGGCUCUCUGGCCCAUAACUGACGCUGAGUGUGCGAAAGCUAGGGGAGCAAACGGGAUUAGAUACCCCGGUAGUCCUAGCCGUAAACGAUGGGCACUAAGUAGAGGGGUUUUA
Molecule: ribosomal RNA, 479 nt
Filed under: uncultured Planctomycetota bacterium
Lineage: Bacteria; Pseudomonadati; Planctomycetota
Description: bacterial SSU rRNA
Rfam family: Bacterial small subunit ribosomal RNA
Source: RNAcentral